This 392-nucleotide long non-coding RNA is filed under the name Ananas comosus (pineapple). Its description in RNAcentral is "long non-coding RNA (ACOM_LNC041182)". The record is from RNAcentral. Lineage: Eukaryota; Viridiplantae; Streptophyta; Magnoliopsida; Poales; Bromeliaceae.
UACGGUAAUGAAAGUGUUGAAUAUAAAAUAUUGAAAUAGCGAACAAUGGUAUCUGUACUAUUUCAUUAUUGUGAUCUAGGGCUUGUUUGAUUCAUCUAUUUUAAACUAUAAAAUCAGAAUAGAAUUCAUUAAUUUCGAUAGUUGUCAUUUAUUCUACAGAAAUUAGAUUCCAAUUCUCAUUCCACUUUGGAACGGUAAGGAGCCAAUUCAUUUCUGGCCCAAAAUUCUAGAUAUUCAUUUUGAUUUUCAUUAAGCAAUGAACAAAAAAAUUUUGAAUUAUUUUCAUUCCGUUUUUCAAUCCAAUACCAUCCAAUUUUAUUUUUUAUUUUCAUUUCAGUCGUGGACCAAACAUGUCAUUAAUUUUUAUACGUUUUACGAGGCCGAAUAUUAUU